AGGACAUCUGGUCCCAACAUAGAUUAGACUUGAUUUCUAAUCUUGAUUUCAUUAACUCGAUGCCCUCGACACUUGAGACAUGAGAGGAAUAGGUGAAGUCAUAUCCUUAGGUUUUGAUGAUGUAAACUUUGCCUGUGAGUGAAGCCUGGGAGUAGCCUGGGAUGAGAACAUAAGUGGUAGUUUGUUGGUAUGGUCUCCAGCAAUCCUGAAGAUAGAUAUCGAGACUGGGAAGGCAUUGGCUUCAGGUUUCCUUAAAUUACAGGCAGUUCCUCAAAAUGGCACUUCAGAAGAAAGAGAGAGAGAAAACUCCAAGAAAGAGAGGGAGACAGACAACUGAUUCGGUUGGAAGAACUGAAGACUGCAGUGUUCCUUGAGAAAGACUUGGUGAAGCUAAUGGGAUGCUCAAAGCAAAGGUUGUCCAUUGAAGGAAUCCUGAUUGAGCAGACAUGGCCUGGCUCCAGUACCCACUCUGUGCCCAGGUAUUGGCUGGGAGAAGUCCAGGAACAGUGCUGAAGUGGAUCUUGAAGAUGGUGGAUCUGGAACUGUUGGCUCACCACACUCUGUAGCAGGUCCUGUCUUGGCCAAACUGAGCGGUGCACGUCUGUGGCUACCACACUGUUAUUGUAUGUUGGCCACUGUAAGCUGCUAUAACAAAAACUGGGUAGUUUAUAAACAACAGAAGUCUAUUUCUUAUAGCCGUAUAGGCUGAGAAGUGCAAGAUCAAGGCUGAUUCAGUGUCUGGUGAGGGCCUGCUUUCUGGCUCUUAGACAAUGCCUGCUUGCUGUGUCCUCUGCUGAUGGAAGGAGCAAGGGAUGUCUCUUGGGCUGCUUUUAUAAGGGCACUGAUCCCAUUCAUGAAGGCUCUCCCCGCAUGACCUAAUCACCUUCCCCAAACCUAACCUCCUAAACCAUCACUUUGGGGUUAGGAUUCUAACAUAUAACAUUUGGGGAGGACACAAAUAUUCAGACCAUAGCAAUCACUAUUUGAAUUCUGGCAACUUUGUCCCUUUCUUAAGCAUUUUUGAAGUCGUCUCUAUGUUCCUAUAUCAAGGCCUGGCAGUUUUAGAAAAUAUUUCUUAAACUGCAUCCAUUUAUUGCUCUGUAACUGACGUCUAUACUCAGAUGACUCUGCUCAUUUGGGCUGCCUGUUUCCAUGAGAUGUGGGACUUAAAGAAAUUUGUCUGAGAGUCGUGACUGAUCUCUGUUCUAUGGCUGAGCUUGUGCAAAAUAUGUACUAUUUCUGACACUUUUUGCUAGUGUAUUUCUUAAACAUCUUCCUCAAAGUGUGUCACACACUGUUUAAAGUUUAUCCUUUUCCCUAAGAUAAAAGCAAGUUGUUAGGAGGUGCACCCUCUACCUUGAGCCUAUUUGGGAGGAUGUGUGUUGGGGCAAGGAAGCAAUGUUGGCUGUGAAUGGAAGGAAGAUUGAUGGUUUUUCUAUUUACAAGCCCAGUCACCUCCCCAAGAUAAUGAUAGCAGCAUUAAAAUUCUAAGAUAAUCCCAUAGAGAGGAAGUGUCCAAAACCUUACAAACACAGCUCUAAAUCCAAGCACCCAUCGGGCUUGCGUGUCUGAGGGGGAUGCUCAGCCUGCAGACACCUACAGCAUUUCACCAGCUUCUAAAAUACAAUCAAUCAGUCAACCCAGACAGCAAGGCAGAAACAAGUUUCCCUGGAGUAACUCUGGGGCUUUGCUUACUUCUUCCUCCAAGGACUCAUCAGAACAGGAUAUUUUCACUCUGAGGGGGAAGAACUGUGAAGAAGCUUUAGGAAGGCAUUGUUAACAUUGACGUGACACGUUUCUGGAUUAAAAAUAAAAAGAUAUAUAUUGUGGGUAGUUUGAGGAAAGGGAAUUAGAGAAACUGACUUUGGCGUGACUGCUUUUAAGGAGCUCACCCCAGCCCAACGUUCAGAAUUUAGUCUCAUAUCCCUUCCAUCCCUCAUCCCAGAAUCAAAUCUGAUUGUGCUUAUUUGUGUGGACCUUUUGCUAAGGGUUUUCAACAAAUGACUUCACCAUUCCCUUCUGCAGAGAUAAGGAUGCUUUCCAAAGAUGAAAAUGCUUGGGUUAAAAUAAAUUACUGUGAGCCUCAGGAUGACUAGUGUCCUUACAAGUGGUAUUGGAAGGAGUACCGCUAAUAAAAAACACUGAUUCCAAAAUACUGUUUCAGAAUGCAGAAUCAGAAAAUCAGUUGCUGCCACUACUAGUUUUUAUCCAUAUUAUUCCUUAAAUUAGGCAACCACUAAGUCUAUUAGGCAGGAAUCAAACCAUCUGUUCUCUCCACUGCAGCAGGAAAACUACUUGUCAAAGAAUUGUGUCAGGUUGGUGCCCAGGGCAAAUGUUUACUGUUGUAACAAUUCUGUCAAGAGCAAAUUUGGGGCUGGACAGCACAUUCACUGAAAAAUUGUUGGUGCUUGAUACUGGGCUGUGAGUAUGGGUCUGUGUGCUAAGAUUUACUCGGACAUCCGGCUAAUAGGAAGAAACUUGAUGUAGUGCUAUUUUCAUCAGCGGCAGCGCUUGAGAGUUCAUGUUCUGAUUAUGAUCCCAGGCAGCCACUUAGCCUGCUUCUUAGUUGCCCGUUUGGCAUUGAAAACACAGUACUUCUGCUAUUUAACAAGGGAGAUUUUUAAAAAAUUUUUUUAAAUUUAAUUAAUUAAUUAAUUAAUUAAUUUUGAGACGGAGUCUCGCUCUGUCGCCCAGGCUGGAGUGCAGCAGUGCGAUCUCGGCUCACUGCAACCUCCACCUCCCAGGUUCAAGCAAUUCUCUGCCUUAGCCUCUGGAGUAGCUGGGAUUAUAGGCACCCGCCACCUCCCACAGCUAAUUUUUGUAUUUUUAGUAGAGAUGGGGUUUCACUAUCUUCCCAGCCUGGUCUUGAACUCCUGACCUUGUGAUCCACCUGCCUCUGCCUCCCAUAGUGCGGGGAUUACAAGCGUGAGCUACCGGGCCGGGCUGGGGAGAUUCUUUAGUGGAAAAGUUUGAAUAUUUUUGGCACUCAGUAGCUUUGACACCAGAAGUAUUUCAAUUGUAUUAAUUUUCGAUACAGCUAGGUGAAUCUGGGAUUUAUUUGAAAUUAUAUUCCCUAAUAAAGUUAAAGAAAUUAUAAUGUUUGAGAAAUUAAGUUGAUUCUUUGCUCUUGCAUGUAUAAAAGUAGGUCUUCUUGUUACUUUCUUACCAAAUUUCUAAACUGGGGCCAUAUUUUUUUUUAUUUAGUUUGCUAUUCUCCUUUUGGCACUUCGGUGGAAUAGUACAUAUUUAAAGACUGGUAUUUUGGAACUGUGCAAACCACAAAAGUGUUUUUGCUGGGAGAAGUUAUUUCUGUUAGUUGCCUUCUUUCCUUGCAAGUUGACUGUAAAUGUCAUGAAGUUUAUGCCCUAUAUAAAUUGCUUUAAUUAUGUUGGGUUUAUGUAACUUCUUCGUAUUUGUAUAGGCUAAAUGUAUGCAUGAAAUUUUUCUAUAAACUCUAAAAGCUUGUUGAAUAUCAUAGUAAAUAAAUACAACCAUAUUUAAG
RNAcentral lists this long non-coding RNA (3502 nucleotides) under Homo sapiens (human). RNAcentral's name for it is "HSALNT0075545". The record is from RNAcentral. Lineage: Eukaryota; Metazoa; Chordata; Mammalia; Primates; Hominidae.